UCCGAAAUGGUUUUGUCGUUGAGUU
RNAcentral lists this non-coding RNA (25 nucleotides) under Drosophila melanogaster (fruit fly). The record is from RNAcentral. Lineage: Eukaryota; Metazoa; Arthropoda; Insecta; Diptera; Drosophilidae.